Molecule: ribosomal RNA, 836 nt
Filed under: uncultured fungus
Lineage: Eukaryota; Fungi
Description: eukaryotic LSU rRNA
Rfam family: Eukaryotic large subunit ribosomal RNA
Source: RNAcentral
GAACUUAAGCAUAUCAAUAAGCGGAGGAAAAGAAACUAACAAGGAUUCCCCUAGUAACUGCGAGUGAAGCGGGAAGAGCUCAAAUUUAAAAUCUGGCAGCUGAUGGGCUUGUCCGAGUUGUAAUCUAGAGAAGUGUCUUCCGCGCUGGGACCGUGUACAAGUCUCUUGGAAUGGAGCAUCAUAGAGGGUGAGAAUCCCGUCUCUGACACGGAAUUUACCGGUGCUUUUGUGAUGCGCUCUCGAAGAGUCGAGUUGUUUGGGAAUGCAGCUCAAAAUGGGUGGUAAAUUCCAUCUAAAGCUAAAUACAGGCGAGAGACCGAUAGCGAACAAGUACCGUGAGGGAGAGAUGAAAAGGACUUUGAAAAGAGAGUUAAACAUUACGUGAAAUUGUUGAAAGGGAAACGAUUCAAGUCAGUCGCAUUAGCCAGUAAUCAACCCUCGCAAUUAACCUUGCUGGGCUUACUUUCUGGUUGAUGGGUCAGCAUCAAUUUUGACCGUCAGAGAAAGGCUUUGCGGGGAAUGUGACAUCUUCGGAUGUGUUAUAGCCCCAACUCGCAUGUGAUGGUCGGGAUUGAGGAACUCAGCACGCCUUUACAGGUCAGGGCCGCCAGAAUGGCCCAUGUAAACGUAGCUUAGGAUGCUGGCAUAAUGGCUUGAACCGACCCGUCUUGAAACACGGACCAAGGAGUCUAACAUGCCUGCGAGUGUUUGGGUGGAAAACCCGAGCGCGAAGUGAAAGUGAACUUGGUUGAGAUCCCUGUCGUGGGGAGCACCGACGCCCGGACCAGACCUUCUGUGACGGAUCUGCGGUAGAGCAUGCAUGUUGGGACCCGAAA